GGUUUACCCAAUUAAACC
Molecule: small nuclear RNA, 18 nt
Filed under: Arabidopsis thaliana (thale cress)
Lineage: Eukaryota; Viridiplantae; Streptophyta; Magnoliopsida; Brassicales; Brassicaceae
Description: snRNA_05273
Source: RNAcentral